ACCGUUUUGCUUAUCUUCCGUUUCUGAUUUUGCAACGCUUCAGGUUUGCUGCUUUUCUUUCUUCCACCCUUUCGCUCUUCUCAAGUUCUUAUUUUCUCUACUUAUCUGCUUCACAACCUGAGAUGGAUCCCCGUGCAAAGCGGUUCAAACCACGGAGGUUGCAGGGCCCGUCGACAGGAACACAGAGGCUGGGGAGCUCCGAUCUUCAAUGCGGCUAAGCAGCUCCAUCUUCAAUCCGAUAAAUUCAAACAUAGGACAGCCUGGAACCUCAAAAAAUUCAACACGAAGGUCAAAUGAUGGUGAAGCAGCUUUGGUUUUAAUUUAUGUCCAUGCAUUGUGUAAUUUGAGCAACAACCUUAUGAAAUUCUCCUCUAGGAAAAGUUUGUUUCCUUAACAUUUUUUAGGUUGGUUAUCAUUUAGUUUUUGGAUUUUUGAAAUGGUGUUGCUACUACUAUAAACAUGGUAUCUUUAGUCCAUAAUAUACUGUGUUUUGGUUGUC
Molecule: long non-coding RNA, 499 nt
Organism: Lotus japonicus
Lineage: Eukaryota; Viridiplantae; Streptophyta; Magnoliopsida; Fabales; Fabaceae
Exons: 3
Source: RefSeq, a predicted model, not a curated record